CUUUUUGUGCAUAAUGUAUAUAUAGGGGGGUGGUAGUACUCUUGGGGUAGAGAGGCAUGUGCUGGGAAUGGCAUGCCAAGGCAUGUGCUGGGAUGGCAUGCCUUGGUGUGUGCUGGGAUGGCAUGCCUUGGUGUGCUGGGAUGGCAUGCCAAGGAGAAGCAUGUGCUAGGAAGGCAUGCCAAGGCCAAGCCAAGGCCAAGGCAAGCACAUGCAUUGUGAGCGAGAUGAGACGGUUGUCUUUACCCCAAGAGUGCCCAAGGGAGAGGAAAGAGGMGUCAAACGCAUGCUGAGCCCCACUUCGGUAGUUUGGCACCCCCAUAGGCAUUGAGGCAAGCGUGCCUAUGGGAAAGUCUGUUGAGCUUGUCAGCCAUGUUGGGUAUUAUUGUCUGGAGUUGAUGAUGGCACAAGGAUGCUGGCUUUAAGGUAACGUUCCGGCAGCACAGCCAGCCCGCAAUUGCUGGUUCAAGCGGGUGGAAUCUGCCUAUAGGGGCGUUGCUUGCUCGCGGUGGAAUUGGGCACGCCCAAUAUGUAUCAUCGACCGACGACGUAGUUCCUGCAUGGCCCCAUAGGUAUUCAGGCAAGCGUGCCUAUGGGAAAAGUCGGUUGAGCUUGUCAGCUAUGUUGGGUAUUAUUGUCUGGAGGAGAUGAUGGCACAAGGAUGCUGGCUUUAAGGUGACGUUCCGGCAGCACAGCCAGCCCGCAAUUGCUAGUUCAAGCGGGUGGAAUCUGCCUAUAGGGGCGUUGCUUGCUCGCGGUGGAAUUGGGCACGCCCAAUAUGUAUCAUCGACCGACGACGUAGUUCCUGCAUGGCCCCAUAGGUAUUCAGGCAAGCGUGCCUAUGGGUAAAGUCGCUUGAGCUUGUCAGCCAUGUUGRGUAUUAUUGUCUGGACGAGAUGAUGGCACAAGGAUGCUUGCUUUAAGGUAACGUUCCGGCAGCACAGCCAGCCCGCAAUUGCUAGUUCAAGCGGGUGGAAUCUGCCUAUAGGGGUGUUGCUUGCUUGCUGUGGAAUUGGGACACGCCCAAUAUCUAUCAUCGACCGACGUAGUUCCUGCAUGGCCCCAUAGGUAUUCAGGCAAGCGUGCCUAUGGGUAAAGUCGCUCGAGCUUGCCAACACCCAUGUUAGCUGUAGUCUGGACCGAUGAUGGCACAAGGAUGCUUGCUUUAAGGUAACAUUCCGGCAGCACAGCCAGCCCGCAAUUGCUAGUUCAAGCGGGUGGAAUCUGCCUAUAGGGGUGUUGCUUGCUUGCUGUGGAUUUGGGACACGCCCAAUAUCUAUCAUCGACCCAAUGAACUGCUCAACAUGGGUUGCUGAGGGCUAUUUUGGCACUGACGGUUCACUUGUUUGCUUGGCUCUGAUAAACGUUUAGAUGUCAUGAUGCUUGGGAUCCAAUAAAUUUAUGUGGGAAGCUGAGAGCUGGAACCCAAUGUCAUUCACCAGAUGGCUUAGCUUCGUCAGUGUGUAUAAUAUGUCAUUGAACCCCAAUCCUCGAUGCCAACCUGAUUAUGACUUUUGGAUUGCAAUUAUCAUGGCUAUCAAAAACUGAGUAGGAGUCAUGGAAUAAGUGAACAAUUUGUAGCUUUUAUAGCUGUCAGCUUUCGCAUCGCCCGGUGUGUUUUGGGAAUCGCUUUGUGCGUUUGGUUGCCUGCCGUGCCUCUUGGCAUACGGUGGGUGCCACUUGCCGGGUGGUUUUCGGAAACAUCCACCGUAAAGGUGCAUGAGUGGUGUUUGGUUUGUUACGGGUGGUUGGCUCUUUGCUUGCGCACCACCUGCCACCUGACUUACCUCUUCAGAUGUUUGCCUAGGCUUGUAUAGCCUAAGCAGAUUGUGGGUUUCCUGUGUUGCCUACCUACGUCACGGAAUUGUCCCGAUCGAUCAAAGUUGCUUUCGUCUUGUGUCGUCUUGAUGGCAUAAGAUGAACCCUGAAGCUGUCUCUUUGCACCGCAUCGUUAAUGCAUGCGUUGAUGUUGUGGCCCAUUGAGCAUUGCUUGGUACCUUGGAUACGGAACCUUAUGUGGGCAUGGGUCCUUAGGGAUCCUUGUUCUGCCCUUGUUUAGCGUUCGCGCUUCUCUUAGAAUGACUGCCUAGCCGGAAUGGGAAGCCAUUCUGGAUGGGCA
RNAcentral lists this unclassified non-coding RNA (2116 nucleotides) under Helianthus eggertii. RNAcentral's name for it is "partial external transcribed spacer". Lineage: Eukaryota; Viridiplantae; Streptophyta; Magnoliopsida; Asterales; Asteraceae. The record is from RNAcentral.